AUGCAAGUCGAACGCGAAAGCCCCGCAAGGGGCAAGUAGAGUGGCAAACGGGUGAGUAACGCGUGGGUGACCUGCCUUCGAGCGGGGGAUAACGUUCCGAAAGGGACGCUAAUACCGCAUAACAUCCUGCCCUUGAACGGGUGGAGAUCAAAGCUGGGGAUUCGCAAGAACCCGGCACUUGAAGAGGGGCCCGCGUCUGAUUAGCUAGUUGGUGAGGUAACGGCUCACCAAGGCAACGAUCAGUAUCCGGCCUGAGAGGGCGGACGGACACACUGGGACUGAGACACGGCCCAGACUCCUACGGGAGGCAGCAGUGGGGAAUUGUUCGCAAUGGGCGCAAGCCUGACGACGCAACGCCGCGUGGAGGAUGAAGAUUUUCGGAUCGUAAACUCCUGUCGAAUGGGACGAAAAAGCUGCGGGUGAACAGCCCGCAAUUCUGACGGUACCGUUAAAGGAAACCCCGGCUAACUCCGUGCCAGCAGCCGCGGUAAUACGGGGGGGGUAAGCGUUGUUCGGAAUUACUGGGCGUAAAGGGCUCGUAGGCGGCCAACUAAGUCGGACGUGAAAUCCCUCAGCUUAACUGGGGAACUGCGUCCGAUACUGGAUGGCUUGGAUUUGGGAGAGGGAUGCGGAAUUCCAGGUGUAGCGGUGAAAUGCGUAGAUAUCUGGAGGAACACCGGUGGCGAAGGCGGCAUCCUGGACCAAUAUUGACGCUGAGGAGCGAAAGCUA
RNAcentral lists this ribosomal RNA (730 nucleotides) under uncultured soil bacterium. Its description in RNAcentral is "bacterial SSU rRNA". It matches the Rfam family "Bacterial small subunit ribosomal RNA", at positions 55 to 762 of the family's 1533-position model. The record is from RNAcentral.